RNAcentral lists this transfer RNA (70 nucleotides) under Sphaerodactylus townsendi. RNAcentral's name for it is "tRNA-Pro". It matches the Rfam family "tRNA". Rfam says of the family: Transfer RNA (tRNA) molecules are approximately 80 nucleotides in length. Their secondary structure includes four short double-helical elements and three loops (D, anti-codon, and T loops). The record is from RNAcentral. Lineage: Eukaryota; Metazoa; Chordata; Lepidosauria; Squamata; Sphaerodactylidae.
GAUGCUGUGGCUCAGUGGCAGAGCCAUCUGCUUUGGAUGCGGAAGGUCCCAGGUUCAAUCCGCGGCAUCU